GAUGAACGCUGGCGGCGUGCCUAAUACAUGCAAGUCGAGCGAACAGACGAGGAGCUUGCUCCUCUGACGUUAGCGACGGACGGGUGAGUAACACGUGGAUAACCUACCUAUAAGACUGGGAUAACUUCGGGAAACCGGAGCUAAUACCGGAUAAUAUAUUGAACCGCAUGGUUCAAUAGUGAAAGACGGUUUUGCUGUCACUUAUAGAUGGAUCCGCGCCGCAUUAGCUAGUUGGUAAGGUAACGGCUUACCAAGGCAACGAUGCGUAGCCGGCCUGAGAGGGUGAUCGGCCACACUGGAACUGAGACACGGUCCAGACUCCUACGGGAGGCAGCAGUAGGGAAUCUUCCGCAAUGGGCGAAAGCCUGACGGAGCAACGCCGCGUGAGUGAUGAAGGUCUUCGGAUCGUAAAACUCUGUUAUUAGGGAAGAACAAAUGUGUAAGUAACUAUGCACGUCUUGACGGUACCUAAUCAGAAAGCCACGGCUAACUACGUG
This 497-nucleotide ribosomal RNA is filed under the name uncultured bacterium. Its description in RNAcentral is "partial 16S ribosomal RNA". It matches the Rfam family "Bacterial small subunit ribosomal RNA", at positions 28 to 507 of the family's 1533-position model. The record is from RNAcentral.